RNAcentral lists this ribosomal RNA (277 nucleotides) under uncultured bacterium. Its description in RNAcentral is "partial 16S ribosomal RNA". It matches the Rfam family "Bacterial small subunit ribosomal RNA", at positions 28 to 298 of the family's 1533-position model. The record is from RNAcentral.
GACGAACGCUGGCGGCGUGCCUAACACAUGCAAGUGGAGCGACGAACCAGGCCUCGGCCUGGGGCAAAGCCGCGAACGGGUGAGUAACACGUGGGUAACCUGCCCUGAUGAUCGGGACAACUCGAGGAAACUCGAGCUAAUACCGAAUGUGCCCCUUGAUCGCAAGGUCUUUGGGGAAAGGAAGCUUCGGCCUCCGCAUCGGGAUGGGCCCGCGGCCCAUUAGCUUGUUGGUGAGGUAAUGGCUCACCAAGGCAACGAUGGGUAGCUGGUCUGAGAG